ACAGGCUCUGUUCCAAAUAAAAGUUAUCCAGAAGGUCACAAGGACAACCCCUGCGACUCACUCAUAGAGAAAUCCUGUGCUUGGGGUUUGUCAACGGGACGAGGGUAAGUGAAAGCACAAAAAUGAAAGGGGUUAUGGCUAUUAGGAGGAACAGGGGAAAGGGUUAAAGGCAGAACUGGCAGUUUAAGAAACACUUCUCAUUCAAAGUUCAUCAUCAUUUACUGAUAUCAUUUGGGGUCUGAUUCCUCCUGAUGGGUGAAUAGUGAGAGGGAAACAUCAGCUUUUAGACUAUUUCCAAUUCAAAUGGAAGCAAAAAGAACUACAAGUUGCAAGAAAUAGAGAAAAACUCCCCCCUUGAUGUUGAUUCUAGA
This 371-nucleotide long non-coding RNA is filed under the name Macaca mulatta (Rhesus monkey). Its description in RNAcentral is "lncRNA (ENSMMUG00000052395.1)". Lineage: Eukaryota; Metazoa; Chordata; Mammalia; Primates; Cercopithecidae. The record is from RNAcentral.